Molecule: ribosomal RNA, 465 nt
Filed under: uncultured bacterium
Lineage: Bacteria
Description: bacterial SSU rRNA
Rfam family: Bacterial small subunit ribosomal RNA
Source: RNAcentral
CCUACGGGGCGCACCAGUAGGGAAUCUUCGGCAAUGGACGAAAGUCUGACGGAGCAACGCCGCGUGAGCGAAGAAGGCCUUCGGGUCGUAAAGCUCUGUUGUUAGGGAAGAACAAGUAACGCAGUAACUGGCGUUACCGUGACGGUACCUAACGAGAAAGCCACGGCUAACUACGUGCCAGCAGCCGCGGUAAUACGUAGGUGGCAAGCGUUGUCCGGAAUUAUUGGGCGUAAAGCGCGCGCAGGCGGUUCCUUAAGUCUGAUGUGAAAGCCCACGGCUCAACCGUGGAGGGUCAUUGGAAACUGGGGGACUUGAGUGCAGAAGAGGAAAGUGGAAUUCCACGUGUAGCGGUGAAAUGCGUAGAGAUGUGGAGGAACACCAGUGGCGAAGGCGACUUUCUGGUCUGUAACUGACGCUGAGGCGCGGAAGCGUGGGGGGCAAACAGGAUUAGAUACCCGUGUAGUC